CAGUCGCCGCGGUAAUACAGAGGGUGCGAGCGUUAAUCGGAUUUACUGGGCGUAAAGCGUGCGUAGGCGGCUUUUUAAGUCGGAUGUGAAAUCCCUGAGCUUAACUUAGGAAUUGCAUUCGAUACUGGGAAGCUAGAGUAUGGGAGAGGAUGGUAGAAUUCCAGGUGUAGCGGUGAAAUGCGUAGAGAUCUUGAGGAAUACCGAUGGCGAAGGCAGCCAUCUGGCCUAAUACUGACGCUGAGGUACGAAAGCAUGGGGAGCAAACAGGAUUAGAUACCCCUGUAGUCCCUGUCUCUUAUAC
This 301-nucleotide ribosomal RNA is filed under the name uncultured bacterium. Its description in RNAcentral is "partial 16S ribosomal RNA". It matches the Rfam family "Bacterial small subunit ribosomal RNA", at positions 509 to 807 of the family's 1533-position model. The record is from RNAcentral.